Molecule: unclassified non-coding RNA, 2035 nt
Filed under: Hevea brasiliensis (rubber tree)
Lineage: Eukaryota; Viridiplantae; Streptophyta; Magnoliopsida; Malpighiales; Euphorbiaceae
Source: RNAcentral
GAAUUAGUCGUGUUUUCUUUGGAUCUGAUUUUGUCACUGUAACAAAGUCAGAUGAUGCUUCUUGGGAUUUCCUAAAGCCUGAAAUAUUUGCAGCAAUCAUGGACUUCUACUCUUCUGGGCAGCCAUUGUUUCUAGAUUCAGAAACUGCAGCUGCAAAGGACACAGCUAUUCAUGAGGAUGAUUCUGAAAUAGUUGCAAUGAUUAAAGAACUGCUAGAAACUCGUAUUCGACCAGCAGUGCAAGAUGAUGGUGGAGAUAUUGAGUAUCGGGGAUUUGAUCCGGAAACCGGAAUAGUCAAAUUGAGAAUGCAAGGAGCAUGUAGUGGCUGUCCAAGCUCAUCGGUCACUCUGAAAUCUGGAAUUGAAAAUAUGCUGAUGCAUUAUGUAUCGGAGGUAACAAGUCAAACAUGAUUUUCUAUUUUAAAAAAGUGUAGAUUAACAUGAGUAUCCUGACAUCUUGUAGUCUUGCACAGUAAGUUUAAAAACCUUGGCAUGUGGGCAAUCCACCUCCAAGUCUUGUAACCAAAUUCAUCUUUUAUUGGGUGGGCAGCUUUUGUCAUUAAUUUGUCUGCACAUGUUAGGACUCAGAGUUGGAUCCAUUUGUUGGGGUGCUGGAAAUAUGUUCUAUGAGUUGUUUUUCAGAUUGCAUUGCUGGGAUGGGAACUAUUGCUCUUAUUUUGGUCUCUGGAGAAUAGAGGAGGCUGAUAAUCAAUGGACAUACUAGCCAAUUCCCAUUUCCUGAAGAAAUUAUAUACUGGUUUUACCAGUGUGAAUUUUUUAUACUUUCUUCUUUUAUGUGUUUAUGUGUGCUUGCAUGAAUGCAUAUAAAUUGGAAUUGAACGAGGCCAUUAUGGACGUUUCAUGAUAAAUGGGUGUUUUUACGUAAUAUUGAAUUAAAUCAUGCAUUAACAUAGUGAAUCGAAGAAUAAUGCCCUUCAUAAUUUGUAUAAAUGACAGUGUAUAAUUUUCAUGUAUUAAGACUUAAUAGAGACUGCACUUUUCCUCACUUGAGCUUUAUAAAUCUGGUUAUGGGUUGCUAUUGGAUGAUGAAUCAUGUCAUGCUGUUAACAUGCAAUUAAGCCUUACUUGAAAGAAAAAGUAGUAUUCUAAUUUCCAGAACUCAACUCUGAACACUGAAUUUGCACUUGGAACUCCCAAGGGAAGGCAAAAAGAUGCUAGGAUGGAUGCAUGGGUGUUACUAAUUCUAGUUUCUGUAGUCAUCCUUUUAUGAAAAUGUUUUUUGUUAAGCAUUUCUCAAGUGAAUGAGUUGACCAUUGUGUUAAUUACUGAAAUAUUUGGUGCUAAUGUUCACGAUAUGUUAUGGCCAGAUCAGAAAAACCUGCCAAAAGUUGAUUAGAUGCUUUUAUAAAAGGGAAGUUUGGUUUCUUAGGAAUCAACAUGUAUGGGCAUAAGGAUGCAGGUUUCGUGUUCAUUUUCCUUGUUUUGGGCUCUCAAACUUCUAGUUAUGUUGAUGAAUUCUUGUUUCAUAGCCAGUGCUAUUGCGCUGUUGUAUUACAUGGCUUAUAUUUUGCUUGAUAAAUUGUUCUGCCUCCUGGCUAGUACUGCUGGGAAGAAUUGUAAUUGGAAUUCAACUCUUUAUUUUUAUCUUCAUGUUUGUGUUUGUCUGCUCAUGAACAUAUGCAGGUGAAAGGAGUGGAACAAGAAUUAGAUGCUGAAGACGAGGAUGCAGCAUUGGCUGGCCAGAUUGAGUAGUUCAAAAUUUUCUUCACCAUCAUGUGGCGUAUUCAUAUGCAUGUUUGAGUCACAGGAUUUCUGAUAUGCGUUCCGGCAGAGUGCAAAUAAAGUUUGUUGGUUAUUUUUAUCGGUGGGAUAUGUCGUGCCUUCCUGUAAGCUAAGUGCAAUUAUAUAAUGCAAGAGUGAGAAUAUAAAGCUGUAUGGACGACAUUGUAUUACUUGCAUAAAAGAUGUUUGGCAUUUUGUUCUCUAAUGUUUUUGCACAAAGCUAUAAAAAUUAGCCUUUUUCCCCUCAGUAUCAUAAAUCAAAAUGGUUUUACUCAAGAUAAUUGUAAUUCAAC